RNAcentral lists this ribosomal RNA (368 nucleotides) under uncultured organism. RNAcentral's name for it is "bacterial SSU rRNA". It matches the Rfam family "Bacterial small subunit ribosomal RNA", at positions 526 to 896 of the family's 1533-position model. The record is from RNAcentral.
CGUAGGUGGCAAGCGUUGUCCGGAUUUAUUGGGUUUAAAGGGUGCGUAGGCGGUCAAAUAAGUCAGUGGUGAAAUACGGCAGCUCAACUGUCGAGGUGCCAUUGAUACUGUUUGACUUGAGUACUGAUGAGGUAGGCGGAAUGGACGGUGUAGCGGUGAAAUGCUUAGAGAUCGUCCAGAACACCGAUAGCGAAGGCAGCUUACUAAGGAGUAACUGACGCUGAGGCACGAAAGUGUGGGGAUCAAACAGGAUUAGAUACCCUGGUAGUCCACACUGUAAACGAUGAUUACUCGAUGUUGGCGAUACACAGCCAGCGUCUUAGCAAAAGCGAUAAGUAAUCCACCUGGGGAGUACGCCGGCAACGGUG